RNAcentral lists this ribosomal RNA (468 nucleotides) under uncultured bacterium. RNAcentral's name for it is "partial 16S ribosomal RNA". It matches the Rfam family "Bacterial small subunit ribosomal RNA", at positions 28 to 507 of the family's 1533-position model. The record is from RNAcentral.
GACGAACGCUGGCGGCGUGCUUAACACAUGCAAGUCGAACGGAAAGGCCCUGCUUUUGUGGGGUGCUCGAGUGGCGAACGGGUGAGUAACACGUGAGUAACCUGCCCUUGACUUUGGGAUAACUUCAGGAAACUGGGGCUAAUACCGGAUAGGAGCUCCUGCUGCAUGGUGGGGGUUGGAAAGUUUCGGCGGUUGGGGAUGGACUCGCGGCUUAUCAGCUUGUUGGUGGGGUAGUGGCUUACCAAGGCUUUGACGGGUAGCCGGCCUGAGAGGGUGACCGGCCACAUUGGGACUGCGAUUAGGCCCAGACUCCUGCGGGAGGCAGCAGUGGGGAAUAUUGCACAAUGGGCGGAAGCCUGAUGCAGCAACGCCGCGUGCGGGAUGACGGCCUUCGGGUUGUAAACCGCUUUCGCCUGUGACGAAGCGUGAGUGACGGUAAUGGGUAAAGAAGCACCGGCUAACUACGUG